UGAGAGGUCCAGGGAAGAACCAAAAGC
Molecule: non-coding RNA, 27 nt
Filed under: Oryctolagus cuniculus (rabbit)
Lineage: Eukaryota; Metazoa; Chordata; Mammalia; Lagomorpha; Leporidae
Also listed under: 1 other name
Source: RNAcentral